RNAcentral lists this long non-coding RNA (799 nucleotides) under Junco hyemalis (dark-eyed junco). RNAcentral describes it as "lncRNA (ENSJHYG00000006324.1)". Lineage: Eukaryota; Metazoa; Chordata; Aves; Passeriformes; Passerellidae. The record is from RNAcentral.
AAAGAUCAUCAAAGGCUGUCCCAGCCCCUCUGCCAGGACAGGACACACCUUCCACUAGACCAGGUUGCUCAGAGCCCCAUGCGGUGUAUACUCAUUGCUCAAGCGAAGUGAGAAAAGCUUUGUCUCAUGCUGUUGCUUAUCUCCUCUGCUCUUGUCCUAGGAAGAUUUUUCAGGAUAGCGGCAUUUCAAAAAGUGUCUAAAUUGAUCGAAGAUAAUUGAAGAGUACAAGGGAUAGAUGGGAAAGAGGGAGAAAAUAACAAGAAGAAGGACAGGUAAGAUGAGUUUUAUGCAUCUGAUAUUUAAAAAAAAUCUUCCAGUGUCCUGAUUAUUCACUUAUUUUGCAACUGUCCAAUUCUUUUUAGUAAGACCAUCAACUUGGACUGACAGGAAGGAGAUAAUAGCCUUAGGUUGGCUUAUGUAAGAUGUUAAACUCACUAAAAAUUUCUGUGCUUAUGAAUGUAUAUCAUCAUACAUUGCACUUCUAAAAGUCUGCUUUUUAUAUGCUAUGUCUGCCUGACAUUUAAAAAAGAAUUAUCAGCCUUUUCUGAUAUCUAAGUGUCUCAUACUCUUUUGAAAACCAUGAUCAUUGUACAUUUUGGAGUACAAAUUGAGAUUUUGUUUUUAUCCUGUUGUAGAGUAGAUGCCUGCUUCUAAGUUUUUGGAUACUUUGCAGCAGUCUGAUUUGGUGUUAGACAAAUAAUACAGAUGAUUAAUUGCUUUAUUGAUGGAAAUGGCCAGGAGACCUAGAGAGACACAUCUAGAAGAAUAAAUUUGGCUGUAAUUGGUCUGUGACCUUUCA